Desmophyllum pertusum is the source of this 74-nucleotide non-coding RNA. The record is from the annotation of a GenBank genome assembly. Lineage: Eukaryota; Metazoa; Cnidaria; Anthozoa; Scleractinia; Caryophylliidae.
GGCGCGGUGGGCCUAAUGAUUAGCGCGUUGGACUCUGGAUCGAGCGGUCCGGGUUCGAGAGCUGGCUGUGGUCA